Long non-coding RNA from Canis lupus familiaris (dog), 654 nucleotides. RefSeq lists it as uncharacterized. NCBI's taxonomy places the organism in Eukaryota, Metazoa, Chordata, Mammalia, Carnivora, Canidae. The transcript has 3 exons. The record is from RefSeq and is a predicted model, not a curated record.
AUAGCACACAUCUGACGGUAGGAACAGGACAGGCUCAGAGUCGACCCUGGGUAAGAGGACACAAAAUAGAAUGGCUGAACCGUGGUCACUUGCAGCAUAACCAGGACUGUCAGAUGAGGGCUCUCCAUGAGAGCAAUAUGGAGGAGAUCAAAGGUCAAGAGUCCAAUCGUGAAUUCCCAAGGGAGGAGACAAGAUCCUGGAAGAUAAGGAGACAGGCUUGAUGAGGUUAAGAGACUAGCUCAAGGUUUGAGAAUUGGAACCCCAGCUCAUCAGGAACCCAGCUCUUGAAUUUCUGAUCCUGGAAUUGUUUUACUGCACCAUCCUGCUUUUCUUUGUAUGUGCAUAAACUGAGAUUGUCCCAGUAAAAAGUUUGGCCUUCCUUCUGUUGAGGUCCUGAACCUGGUUCAUUAAAAGAUGAGCAGAUACAUGUACGUAUGUGUAUCUACGUACACAUACACACACACCUCCCUUUAACAUAUUUAUAACAUCCUUUCCCCCCCAAAAAAAACCCACUAAGAAUCAUUGCAUCUUCUCUAUAUCAGCCAAAAUUUUGACGAUCUUUAAGUAGCUCAUGUUAUGAAACUGAAAGUUUUUAUUUUCAAAUGUAAAUAAUAUGAUAUUGCAAAUGCUUUUUUAAAGACAUACUAGGCCCCA